This 739-nucleotide ribosomal RNA is filed under the name Rhodococcus sp. I11A-02680. Its description in RNAcentral is "bacterial SSU rRNA". It matches the Rfam family "Bacterial small subunit ribosomal RNA", at positions 68 to 824 of the family's 1533-position model. Lineage: Bacteria; Bacillati; Actinomycetota; Actinomycetes; Mycobacteriales; Nocardiaceae. The record is from RNAcentral.
GGUAAGGCCUUUCGGGGUACACGAGCGGCGAACGGGUGAGUAACACGUGGGUGAUCUGCCCUGCACUUCGGGAUAAGCCUGGGAAACUGGGUCUAAUACCGGAUAUGACCUCAGGUUGCAUGACUUGGGGUGGAAAGAUUUAUCGGUGCAGGAUGGGCCCGCGGCCUAUCAGCUUGUUGGUGGGGUAAUGGCCUACCAAGGCGACGACGGGUAGCCGACCUGAGAGGGUGACCGGCCACACUGGGACUGAGACACGGCCCAGACUCCUACGGGAGGCAGCAGUGGGGAAUAUUGCACAAUGGGCGAAAGCCUGAUGCAGCGACGCCGCGUGAGGGAUGACGGCCUUCGGGUUGUAAACCUCUUUCAGCAGGGACGAAGCGCAAGUGACGGUACCUGCAGAAGAAGCACCGGCUAACUACGUGCCAGCAGCCGCGGUAAUACGUAGGGUGCAAGCGUUGUCCGGAAUUACUGGGCGUAAAGAGUUCGUAGGCGGUUUGUCGCGUCGUUUGUGAAAACCAGCAGCUCAACUGCUGGCUUGCAGGCGAUACGGGCAGACUUGAGUACUGCAGGGGAGACUGGAAUUCCUGGUGUAGCGGUGAAAUGCGCAGAUAUCAGGAGGAACACCGGUGGCGAAGGCGGGUCUCUGGGCAGUAACUGACGCUGAGGAACGAAAGCGUGGGUAGCGAACAGGAUUAGAUACCCUGGUAGUCCACGCCGUAAACGGUGGGCGCUAGGUGUG